This 142-nucleotide small nuclear RNA is filed under the name Daucus carota subsp. sativus. Its description in RNAcentral is "snRNA U1". It matches the Rfam family "U1 spliceosomal RNA". Rfam says of the family: U1 is a small nuclear RNA (snRNA) component of the spliceosome (involved in pre-mRNA splicing). Its 5' end forms complementary base pairs with the 5' splice junction, thus defining the 5' donor site of an intron. There are significant differences in sequence and secondary structure between metazoan and yeast U1 snRNAs, the latter being much longer (568 nucleotides as compared to 164 nucleotides in human). Lineage: Eukaryota; Viridiplantae; Streptophyta; Magnoliopsida; Apiales; Apiaceae. The record is from RNAcentral.
UUACUUACCUGGAUGCGGUCAAUGGGCGAUCAAUAAGGCUCAUGGCCUAGGUCAGUGACCUCCAUUGCACUGAGGAGGGGCCCAUUGAUUGUUAACUAUAAGUUACUUUAGACUUUAGGGCUUUGUACAAAAUAUUUUUAUG